GACGAACCGUGCAAACGUUGUUCGGAAUCACUGGGCUUAAAGGGCGCGUAGGCGGGCGGCCAAGUCAGAGGUGAAAGCCCACGGCUCAACCGUGGAAGUGCCCCUGAUACUGGUUGUCUUGAGGGAGAUAGGGGCGUGCGGAACUUCCGGUGGAGCGGUGAAAUGCGUAGAUAUCAAGAGGAACACCUGAGGUGAAGACGGGUUGCUGGGCUGACACUGACGCUGAGGCGCGAAAGCCAGGGGAGCAAACGGG
This 253-nucleotide ribosomal RNA is filed under the name uncultured prokaryote. Its description in RNAcentral is "partial 16S ribosomal RNA". It matches the Rfam family "Bacterial small subunit ribosomal RNA", at positions 524 to 776 of the family's 1533-position model. The record is from RNAcentral.